RNAcentral lists this ribosomal RNA (228 nucleotides) under uncultured bacterium. Its description in RNAcentral is "partial 16S ribosomal RNA". It matches the Rfam family "Bacterial small subunit ribosomal RNA", at positions 103 to 334 of the family's 1533-position model. The record is from RNAcentral.
CGGGUGAGUAAUGUCUGGGAAACUGCCUGAUGGAGGGGGAUAACUACUGGAAACGGUAGCUAAUACCGCAUAACGUCGCAAGACCGAAGAGGGGGACCUUCGGGCCUCUUGCCAUCGGAUGUGCCCAGAUGGGAUUAGCUAGUAGGUGGGGUAAUGGCUCACCUAGGCGACGAUCCCUAGCUGGUCUGAGAGGAUGACCAGCCACACUGGAACUGAGACACGGUCCAG